AUUUUUGGUUGUCUUUUUUUCCCAAGGCUAAACAUCUCACACCCAGCAACUUGGCGGCACUACAGGCAUGCUCACUGGAAGGCCAAAGGACAUACCCGGUAGAGGUCUGGAAGCUUCUCUUCCAAAAGGCUUUGACUUCAUUAGACCAGGCUCUGGAAUUAUUUGCCACCACGGUAAAUCCAGUCCCACAAUUUCACAAAAUCUUUGCUUCCUUGUGGGAAUUCUGUGUAAUAACCAAGAUGACUUUUUCCAACCCCAGGCCGCCAACAACAGCUUCCCAAUAUUUCCACAUCUGCUCGAGGCCCUCGGAGAGGUUAGAAUUGCCAACUUCAGCGAGGCACAGCUGCAGAGUGUUGACUUUGUCAGCGGCUGGUUCCAGACAAAGUUGCGUCCGUUUUUGGCCUCUCCAUCCUCCAACUUCCUAUUCUGCCUGAGCUCCAAGAACUUCAGCUGCCAAACAUACCAGACUGUGUAAGCAAGCUAUGUGAUGUAUUGCUCCACUGUGAACCAGAUUGUAGAGGCUCCUGGCGUUUUCCUCUUUUGAGAUGUUGAAAGCAUUCUCUCAAAUUUUAGCAUCCAGGUAUUCAGCAGCCAAAGGCCAUCCAUGGACGGGGAAAGACAGCGUGCAGUCUUCACUCAUUUCAUCAAACCAUUCCUGUCAAGAAAUGACUCAUCAGGUAAAGGCAGGCGCUGCACUCAACUUGGAAAAGUCUAGGUCACAACAGUGGUGGUAUCCUGCCAAUGGGUUUGUUUCCGUCUUCUUUGCAGAUCCUGGCUGUGUCUCAUCUACCAACGGGAGCGGAGACUGGCUGCAGACAAAUAUUGGCGGCUUCUCUGAAUAUGCGACCCUGCAGGAUUUGAAAGGCCUCAAUCCCAACUUCUCAAGUAACGAAUCGUUGUCGGCCCUCACUUCUGCUCAGUUGGCACAGCUGACACUGAGCUCGGGGGCGUCGAACGACACAGACCAAAUCGACCGUGUGUUUGGACGACUUGAGGUGGGCAAUGCUCUGGAAAAUGUGGAGGAAUUCCUGACAGAGCUGACAGCGAAAGGACAGGAACCCGAUUUCCAACCUGCUGUGAGAGAUCGCGUAAUGAACAGGACCUUCCUCAUCAUCGGCCCCCAUUUCCCGCACUUUGAGACAAAGGACUGGUUUGUUUGGUUCCACGUGAAACUGGUUCCUGUCCUCGCCAGUUUCAGUGCAGUGAUGCUCGAGAAUGCAACCUCAAACAUGAACUGCUCCAACUACCAUGUUGUGUGA
Molecule: long non-coding RNA, 1259 nt
Filed under: Scophthalmus maximus (turbot)
Lineage: Eukaryota; Metazoa; Chordata; Actinopteri; Pleuronectiformes; Scophthalmidae
Description: lncRNA (ENSSMAG00000022721.1)
Source: RNAcentral